AACCUGCUGCCCCUUAGACUUGGUCCAGUCUAAUAUCCAACAACCCAUCUUCUUAAUUAUAAUUUAUCGUUAUCUCCUUUCUCUAUGAUUUUGAGGUCUUUGCUCAUCUUCCUUCAUGCUCUAGCUGAACCAUCGACAACUUUUCAUCCAUUGACUUUCCCAUGGUUGCAUAAUUCAACGUUCUGCCACAUAAAAAUAAAUAACCUUUGUGUUGGAUCUCCUAACGUGAGAUAGGGGUGAAGCGUGUCUUAGUGACCGGAGGUGCUGGUUAUAUAGGUUCUCACGCUGCACUUCGACUGUUGAAGGAUUCUUACCGUUGUCCAGAUCUCCUAACGUGAGCUAGGGGUGAAGCGUGUCUUAGUGACCGGAGGUGCUGGUUAUAUAGGUUCUCACGCUGCACUUCGACUGUUGAAGGAUUCUUACCGUUGUCACCAUAGUGGACAACCUAUCUCGUGGGAAUUUUGUUGCUGUUAAAGUUCUUCAAAAGCUAUUUCCAGAGCCUGGCCGAUUGCAGCUCAUACAUGCUGACUUAGGAGAUGCAAAAGUCAUAUCUACAUGAUAGUAAUUAAGACUAACAUGCAUGUCUACAUAUGUAUAUACAAGUGUUCCAUUUCUUUUUCCCUUAAUAACAUCUUAAUUAGGUAAACAAAAUCUUUGCUGAAAAUGCAUUUGAUGCGGUCAUGCAUUUUGCUGCUGUUGCUUAUAUUGGUGAAAGCACGCUCGGACCUCUCAGGUAUCCUUCCCUCCGUUUCGACUUUGAACCUGCAUAAGUGCUAAAAGUAAAUGUUAGGGGGAACACAAUGUUUUUGCUACAAUACAUCUCUGGGGAGUGUUGCUGGCAAUUGCUGUCUCGAUCACAACAUUUCAUCAAAUACUUUGGUACUUUUAGAGGCAAUGGCUGCACAUCAUGUGAAGACAUUGAUUUAUUCUAGCACCUGUACAACAUAUGGAGAGCCUGAAAAAAUGCCAAUUACAGAAGAAACUCAUCAAAAACCAAUCAACCCAUAUGGAAAAGCCAAGAAGAUGGCAGAAGAUAUUAUAAUCGACUUCUUCAAAACCAAUGGCAUGGCGUUCAUGAUACUAAGGUAUGUGGUUCUCGAUUUCAAGUAAUGCUGAUGCUAAGUUUUCUUGCUGCUCGUUGUACUUCUUUCAAGGUCUCAGUAUAAAGUGUUACAAUCUGAAACGGAAGAAGACUGAAUGACGACUAUCAAAGAAACCUUGGUACAGAAAACUGCCUUCUGGGAAGUAAAAUGUCUUACAUUUUCCUGUUUUACAUUCUACUAUCGUGCAAAAUUGAAAGGUCAACAAUAUAAUUUAGAGAUGGAUUAUAAUUCAUUGUGCCAUUUAAUUGUGGUAUAAAUAAUGAUCCUUUGUUGGUAUCUUCAGAUUAGCUAAUCAACUUUCAACAGAUGAUUAUAUAGUGCAACAGGAGACUAGAUAAGAGCAGAGAUUGUCAUGUUGACAAUCAAUUUAAAUGGAUAAGGGAAUUUGAUUUAUAUACUUCUAUUUUCCAGAUAUUUAAUGUGAUUGGAUCAGAUCCAGAAGAACAUUUAGGUGAAUCGCCCAGGCCUGCACUAUGCGAGCAUGGUCGGAUAUCUGGUGCUUGUUUUGAUGCAGCUAGAGGGAUAAUACCUGGACUCAAGAUUAGAGGAACAGAUUACAAAACAGCUGAUGGCACCUGUGAACGGGACCGUAUUGAUAUAACUGACCUAGUUAAUGCUCAUAUGAAAGCUCUUGCCCAUGCAAAACCAGCCAAGGUCGGGGCAUCUACAAUGUUGGCACUGGAAAAGGCUAUAGAACUCAUUUGCUCUAAUUAGUUUCUAAUUCUCAGCUCCUUCUUGACCAUGAUACAUUCCUAUCAAGUCGAUGUAGAUCAGUAAAGGAGUUUGUGGAAGCAUGUAAGAAGGCAACAGGUGUGAAUAUAAAGGUAGAUUACCUAAGCCGCUGGCCAGGGGACUAUGCUGAAGUUUACAGCGAUCCUUCCAAAAUCAGGCGUGAGCUAAAUUAGACAGCUCAAUACAUAGACCUUCAAGAGAAUUUACAGAUAGCAUGGAGAUGGCAGUCAAUCUUUUUUUAUUUAAUAAUAUUAAUAUCCAAAUGGUUAUGAUCACAGUAAAUAAUAAUAUCAAUUUCUGUAGCCACAAUGAGUUUUUAUUGUGUCCCAGAAGAUAUGUAGAUUAGUAGGUUGAAAAGUUAUAGCACAUUUGAAGAAUGUAAGGAAGAAGAGUCUGACAGUUAAUAGCUGCAACAGCAGCAUACCAUCUUUAGCAGUUUAUCAUACUGAAAAUUGAAUAUUCUGAAAUAGUUUCAAAUAUAUAUGAAACGAGUUGGAAAGGAAUUUUUCCUUGUUUUCUCA
This is an RNA transcript of Ricinus communis (castor bean), 2356 nucleotides long. It is a transcript of the gene named putative UDP-arabinose 4-epimerase 2, with no coding region annotated. The transcript is spliced from 6 exons. NCBI's taxonomy places the organism in Eukaryota, Viridiplantae, Streptophyta, Magnoliopsida, Malpighiales, Euphorbiaceae. The record is from RefSeq and is a predicted model, not a curated record.